GAUGAUGCGUGCAAGGAAGGAAAGAUGCAGACAAGCAACGCCGAAGACGUCUUCAAAGCGCUUGAUGGGAUUGAGUUCCCAGAGUUGGUAGAGCCCCUGAGGACUGCAUUGGAUGAAGCAAAAAGGCAUCCUGGAGCAAAAUAGAGGAAACUAGAUAAAGAGCCAAUGCUGCAGAGCAAAAUGAUCGAGCAAACAAAGCCAACGCGGGCGAUGAUUAACUGCUCUAACCUUGUGGAAUGACACAAUCAAUCCAACUGUUACCUUUGGGGUGCUUUUUGGAUGGACUAAUCUGAAGAUGUUGGCUAGCUUGCACCGCCCUCAUAUAAUCUAGAAGCAGGGGCAAGGAUUAUAGGGAAAAUAAAGGUACAAUGCUCCCAGUAUAUUUUAUUUUUGGCAAAGUUUUGGUGCUUGCGCAAGAAAGUAACACCAUCAUUACAGGCUCAUUUUAUUUUAUCUUAGUUCAUGCACUAAUGCAUAAAUCUUUUGGUGUUGCCCUUAUUAUUUAGUCUAGAGCUAUGCAAUGACAACCAUGGCUUUAGUGUUCAGGUGAGUUUCAUUUAUAGAGUGAAGAACCCUUGGCAUCUUAUCUAAAUUCUUUGAUCCUAGAUAUUAUGUAUACCCAGUUAAGUACCUUAUACCAGUACCUUAAUUAGCCUCUUCUGACUAUUGAUUGUUUGAACUGUUGUAGUAGGACUCAGACUUUCAAUGUUAUUAGGCUUGUGGACAUGUUUUUAUUUUAGAUUGUACAGUAUCGGGUUCUUUUGGCUUCUAGUUGCUGCUGCACAAAAAUACACUAAACUCAGAUGAUGCAUGAAAAAAAUUGCAGACUUAACAUAGUUUUUGUAUUCUGAUUUUUUUGUGAUGCCCUUAUGUUAAAAUGCUUAUUUGUUCUCCAAGUAGGCCAACGACGGCUGCUAGCAAUGAU
This is a long non-coding RNA of Triticum dicoccoides, 925 nucleotides long. RefSeq lists it as uncharacterized. The record is from RefSeq and is a predicted model, not a curated record. The transcript is spliced from 3 exons. Lineage: Eukaryota; Viridiplantae; Streptophyta; Magnoliopsida; Poales; Poaceae.